UUAGAUAUUUAAUUAAACUGCAGAGUAUUUUCGGAUCGACCACAUGCUCAACAAUCGAUCGAUCCGUAAAAGAUGAUCGAUCUCCUUGGCCAGGUAAGUACAAUUUUAGCAAAAAUAUCUUUGAUUUUCAAAUAUUAAGUAUAUAACUAUUCUUUUGAAUAUUUUUUUUUGAAUUGUAUUUUUUGAUUAAAUUAUUGUAUUAUAAUGUUUAUG
This 213-nucleotide long non-coding RNA is filed under the name Brassica napus (rape). RNAcentral's name for it is "long non-coding RNA (BNAP_LNC022697)". Lineage: Eukaryota; Viridiplantae; Streptophyta; Magnoliopsida; Brassicales; Brassicaceae. The record is from RNAcentral.